Molecule: ribosomal RNA, 852 nt
Filed under: Microbacterium arabinogalactanolyticum
Lineage: Bacteria; Bacillati; Actinomycetota; Actinomycetes; Micrococcales; Microbacteriaceae
Description: bacterial SSU rRNA
Rfam family: Bacterial small subunit ribosomal RNA
Source: RNAcentral
UCGAACGAUGAACCCGGAGCUUGCUCUGGGGGAUUAGUGGCGAACGGGUGAGUAACACGUGAGCAACCUGCCCCUGACUCUGGGAUAAGCGCUGGAAACGGCGUCUAAUACUGGAUAUGUCCCAUCACCGCAUGGUGUGUGGGUGGAAAGAUUUAUCGGUUGGGGAUGGGCUCGCGGCCUAUCAGCUUGUUGGUGAGGUAAUGGCUCACCAAGGCGUCGACGGGUAGCCGGCCUGAGAGGGUGACCGGCCACACUGGGACUGAGACACGGCCCAGACUCCUACGGGAGGCAGCAGUGGGGAAUAUUGCACAAUGGGCGCAAGCCUGAUGCAGCAACGCCGCGUGAGGGAUGACGGCCUUCGGGUUGUAAACCUCUUUUGGCAGGGAAGAAGCGAGAGUGACGGUACCUGCAGAAAAAGCGCCGGCUAACUACGUGCCAGCAGCCGCGGUAAUACGUAGGGCGCAAGCGUUAUCCGGAAUUAUUGGGCGUAAAGAGCUCGUAGGCGGUUUGUCGCGUCUGCUGUGAAAUUCCGAGGCUCAACCUCGGGCUUGCAGUGGGUACGGGCAGACUAGAGUGCGGUAGGGGAGAUUGGAAUUCCUGGUGUAGCGGUGGAAUGCGCAGAUAUCAGGAGGAACACCGAUGGCGAAGGCAGAUCUCUGGGCCGUAACUGACGCUGAGGAGCGAAAGGGUGGGGAGCAAACAGGCUUAGAUACCCUGGUAGUCCACCCCGUAAACGUUGGGAACUAGUUGUGGGGUCCUUUCCACGGAUUCCGUGACGCAGCUAACGCAUUAAGUUCCCCGCCUGGGGAGUACGGCCGCAAGGCUAAAACUCAAAGGAAUUGACGGGGACCC